UACUUUGUGGCGACCGGCGCACGGGUGCGUAACGCGUAUGCAACCUACCUUUAACAGGGGCAUAACACUGAGAAAUUGGUACUAAUUCCCCAUAACAUUCGAGAAGGCAUCUUCUUGGGUUAAAAACUCCGGUGGUUAAAGAUGGGCAUGCGUUGUAUUAGCUAGUUGGUGAGGUAACGGCUCACCAAGGCAACGAUACAUAGGGGGACUGAGAGGUUAACCCCCCACAUUGGUACUGAGACACGGACCAA
RNAcentral lists this ribosomal RNA (251 nucleotides) under uncultured bacterium. RNAcentral describes it as "partial 16S ribosomal RNA". It matches the Rfam family "Bacterial small subunit ribosomal RNA", at positions 81 to 334 of the family's 1533-position model. The record is from RNAcentral.